Molecule: ribosomal RNA, 379 nt
Filed under: uncultured prokaryote
Description: partial 16S ribosomal RNA
Rfam family: Bacterial small subunit ribosomal RNA
Source: RNAcentral
UGGUGAAUAUUGAUCAAUGGAUUUUUGUCCGAAUAAGUACUUCAUGUGGGGUUGUUGACUCUAUACUUUAAUUACGUAUAAUGAAUUUAUUAAAGGUGAACUGGGGACUAACGACGUGCCAGCAGUUGCGGUAAGACUUCGAACCGGGAGCAUUACUGGUCGUGAUUGGGCGUAAAGAGUACAUAGACGGUUAAGGAAGUUAUAUUAAAAAAAAUAAGGGUGAACAUAAAUAAUAUAAGACCCUUAUACUAGAACUUAAAUAGUGAUUAUAGCACGAGUAGUUUAGCGAUUAAAUGCGUAGCAUACUAGGUCUCUCAGAGGUUAUAACAAUAUUCAGUUUUAAGUUGACGUUGACGUACUAAAGUGUGGGUGGCAAUAA